UAGAGUGGCGAACGGGUUAGUAACGCGUGGGAACAUACACAGCACAGGGGGAUAACCAUUGGAAACGAUGGCUAAUACCGCAUACGCCCUAAUGGGGAAAGAUUUAUCGGUGUUGGAUUGGCCCGCGUUAGAUUAGCUAGUUGGUGGGGUAAUGGCUCACCAAGGCGACGAUUUAUAGCUGGUUUGAGAGGAUGAUCAGCAACACUGGAACUGAGACACGGUCCAGACUCCUACGGGAGGCAGCAGUCGGGAAUAUUGUGCAAUGGGGGCAACCCUGACACAGCCAUGCCGCGUGAGUGAAGAAGGCCUUAGGGUUGUAAAGCUCCUUCAGAUGUGAGGAUGAUGACGAUAGCAUCAGAAGAAGCUCCGGCUAACUUCGUGCCAGCAGCCGCGGUAAUACGAAGGGAGCUAGCGUUGUUCGGAAUUACUGGGCGUAAAGGGCGUGUAGGCGGAUUAUCAAGUUAGGGGUGAAAUCCCGGGGCUCAAACUCGGCACUGGCUUUAAGACUGAUAAUCUAGAGUAUGUGAGGGGAUAAUGG
This 538-nucleotide ribosomal RNA is filed under the name uncultured bacterium. RNAcentral's name for it is "bacterial SSU rRNA". It matches the Rfam family "Bacterial small subunit ribosomal RNA", at positions 91 to 664 of the family's 1533-position model. The record is from RNAcentral.